GACGAACGCUGGCGGCGUGCUUAACACAUGCAAGUCGAACGGAAAGGCCCCUUUGGGGGUCCUCGAGUGGCGCACGGGUGAGUAACACGUGAGUAACCUGCCCUUGACUUCGGGAUAACUUCAGGAAACUGGGGCUAAUACCGGAUAGGAAUCCUUGCUGCAUGGUGGGGGUUGGAAAGCUUCGGCGGUUUUGGAUGGACUCGCGGCUUAUCAGCUUGUUGGUGGGGUAGUGGCUUACCAAGGCUUUGACGGGUAGCCGGCCUGAGAGGGCGACCGGCCACAUUGGGACUGAGAUACGGCCCAGACUCCUACGGGAGGCAGCAGUGGGGAAUAUUGCACAAUGGGCGGAAGCCUGAUGCAGCAACGCCGCGUGCGGGAUGACGGCCUUCGAGUUGUAAACCGCUUUCAGCAGGGGCGAAGCUUGUGGUGACGGUACCUGCAGAAGAAGCACCGGCUAACUACGUG
Molecule: ribosomal RNA, 465 nt
Filed under: uncultured bacterium
Lineage: Bacteria
Description: partial 16S ribosomal RNA
Rfam family: Bacterial small subunit ribosomal RNA
Source: RNAcentral